Molecule: long non-coding RNA, 445 nt
Organism: Cyprinus carpio (common carp)
Lineage: Eukaryota; Metazoa; Chordata; Actinopteri; Cypriniformes; Cyprinidae
Exons: 3
Source: RefSeq, a predicted model, not a curated record
GUUAUGUUGGUUCAUGGUCUCCAUCAUGGUCUUCAGCUCAGCACAUUUGUCCUCCAGUGAAUCAUGCUCUGACUGGGCUGCAACUCUCCACACCUGAAACUCUUUCUCCAGAAGCCUGAUCAUAACAUCACAAACACACUGAGGCAUUUCGACUCUACCGUAACCACAGGAGGGAUGGCAGUCAGACCUGUUCCAGGAGCAUUAUGCAUGUCUGGAUCUGCUACAGUGGAGCACUGCAGCACUGGAGAAGGGGCACUACAGACACACACAGACACAUGAAAUCAUCUGUAUGCUGUUAAAUACUCUCUGCACUGGAGCCUGCUCUCAGGGCUCUCUUCCUCUCUGCUUCUCUCCGAGUGUGUCGAGGUACCAAAGCGUGUCGAGCGCUGGAGGCAAGUGACGCCACUGACUCCUUCCAGGAUGGCUGAACAAACCGUAAUAUAUG